GACGAACGCUGGCGGCGUGCCUAACACAUGCAAGUCGAGCGAUGAAAUCCCUUCGGGGAUGGAUUAGCGGCGGACGGGUGAGUAACACGUGGGUAACCUGCCUCAAAGAGGGGGAUAGCCUCCCGAAAGGGAGAUUAAUACCGCAUAACAUUAGUUUUUCACAUGAAGAACUAAUUAAAGGAGUAAUUCGCUUUGAGAUGGACCCGCGGCGCAUUAGCUAGUUGGUGAGGUAACGGCUCACCAAGGCGACGAUGCGUAGCCGACCUGAGAGGGUGAUCGGCCACAUUGGAACUGAGACACGGUCCAGACUCCUACGGGAGGCAGCAGUGGGGAAUAUUGCACAAUGGGCGAAAGCCUGAUGCAGCAACGCCGCGUGAGUGAUGAAGGCCUUCGGGUUGUAAAGCUCUGUCUUUUGGGACGAUAAUGACGGUACCAAAGGAGGAAACCACGGCUAACUACGUGCCAGCCGCCGCCGUAA
This 478-nucleotide ribosomal RNA is filed under the name uncultured bacterium. Its description in RNAcentral is "partial 16S ribosomal RNA". It matches the Rfam family "Bacterial small subunit ribosomal RNA", at positions 28 to 523 of the family's 1533-position model. The record is from RNAcentral.